Molecule: long non-coding RNA, 427 nt
Organism: Tripterygium wilfordii
Lineage: Eukaryota; Viridiplantae; Streptophyta; Magnoliopsida; Celastrales; Celastraceae
Exons: 2
Source: RefSeq, a predicted model, not a curated record
UAUAUAUAUUAAAGUGCAAGCUUUGAAGUAGUUGGCAAAAUUAAAGAGAAGAAGAAGAGUGAAGAAAACUCAAACCAUGAAGGAGAUAGCGAUGCUUGUCUGGUCAGGUUUCCUCUUAUCAGGAGAUUUUAUUUGCUCACUCCUGCUGCGCCUGCAGGAUGGUGACCCACCGGAAACCAGUAAUGGACGUCGUUCCAUUAUGAUGAUGGUUGGUUGAAGCUAUCUAGAGUUGGUUAGCAAAUAGAAGUUGUAACAUUCCAAGAUUUUUCUCUUGUUUUUCUUCUUUUUUCCAUCUUUUCUAUUACUUAUCAAGGAAAAGUUAUGGUUUCCUGGAAUUUGUAUUGAUGGAUUACAAUAAAUUCCGUAACUACUUGGUUUACACAUAAGAGGAAAUUGUACUUUUUGUUUAAAUUUUGAGUUGUUGGUA